UUUACCCCCCCCCCCCCCCCGCCCCCAAUCCCAUGAUGCUCUGAUAACGCCCACAUGCACCCCUGAUGCCACCAUGCACCUGGAUCCAACCAUUCCAAGCAGUCGUAUUAGAACGCGACGUGGUUGCUAAUCUGGCACCAGACAUGCAAGAUACGUUCUUUAAAUCGUCUUGGGCUGUACGUUAGCUUCACUGGGGACUAAAUUGUCUUUGGUGUUACCAAAAAUAUGCCAAUGUGCCAAUCGCAGGGCACAUAUAAACACACAUUCACACCUACGGGCAGUUUAGAGCCUUCAAUCAACCUACCAUGCAUUGUUUUUGGGAUGUGGGAGGAAACCGGAGUGCCCGGAGAAAACCCACACAAACACAGAGAGAACAUGCAAACUCCACACAGGCAGGGCCGCGAUUUGAACCCCGGUCCUCAGAACUGUGAGGCAGACACGCUAACCAGUCGCCCACCGUGCCGCCAAGUUUGGUUCCUUAAUGAUGAAAUGGUCAUUGACGCUUAUGAAAACCGGCAGGCUUGACUUGUUCCACCUGGCAGAAGGCUUUUACGCUAGCUGACUGAACCGAAGCGCAUCACUUCCUGCGUCACUUCCUGUCUUGACUUCCUACAACACUGAGCCUCUUCGCUCCCCAACAUUCAGCAUGAAGCCACAAGAUCGCCUCAUUAUCUUUGCGGCCAACGUGGUCUGGAUGACGGGUACGGCUCCUCGUCGCCAAUUUGAUAAAGUUUGGUUUUUUUUUGGGGGGGGGGGGGGUGGUGACUUAAUUGCGUGUCUUUUCAGGGGUCCGGCUGAGCGAAGACAUGAGGGUCUUCCAAACCCCCCGCGACAUUUUCAGGAGAGCGGACGACGACGACGUCAUACUGAAUUUCACGCACGCGCUCGCCAACCACGACACCAUCCAUUGGUACAGACGGGUGCCCGGCGGCACCCGAGCUCUGGAGCUGUUGGCGUUGGUCAACUACAAGAAGGCUUUGGUGGAGCCGCCCUUCAGGGGCCGCGUCGACGUGAGCGGCGACGGCAGGGGGGCGGCGCACCUCCGCAUCCUCCGGCCUGACGACGGCGGCCAUUUUCUUGCCGCCGCCAGGAAGGGACAGGUACACGUCUGCUUCUCAGCCGUUCUUUGGCGCAGGAACGAGGUUGACAGUAUUAGGUAAGCUAUGGGAAAAAAGCAAUGUCAGGAAAAGUCGUUUCAUAUGAGAAUCGUGGCUUGUUUCGCGAACCAGACAGAUGCACUGUGACUCUGCUAAUGUAGCUUUCUUUGGCGGAGGAACAAAGUUAUCAGUUCUAGAUCCAAACGUCAAAAUCACGCCGCCCACGGUGAAGUUGUUCCCGCCGUCGGAUGGCGAGUGCACAAAUCAGAAGGACAAGGAGGCCAAGAAGAAGACGCUGGUGUGCGCGGCCACCGACUUCUACCCCGACCACGUGGGCGUGGCCUGGAUGGUGGACAGCCAGAAGCGUGACAAGGGCGUGGCCACGGACUCCGAGGCCCUGCGGCGAGGGCUCGGCUACAGCAUCACUAGCAGGCUGAGGGUCCCGGCAUCCGAGUGGUUGCACGGGAGCAGGAACUUCACCUGCGUCCUGACCUUUUUCGAUGGGACGAGCUAUAGCGACUACGCAGAGUCGAUCAGCGGCAAAGAUGACUCAGCUGGAGAAGGACUUACCCGAGAGAGCUUCUUGAGGAUGACGCAGAGCGCCAAGCUGUCGUACGCCGUCCUCAUUGCCAAGAGCUGCGUCUACGCCGCCUUCGUGGCCUUCCUGCUGUGGCGGUUCAGGGCGUCGCCUGGAAAAAACAACUGAAGGAAGAACGUCUUUACUGCUUUCAUUUUUUUCGUUGUUGUUAUUUAUUCACUUUGUUCAAUAAAAGUAUAUUUCAAUAACAACAACAA
This is a non-coding RNA of Phycodurus eques (leafy seadragon), 1892 nucleotides long. NCBI's taxonomy places the organism in Eukaryota, Metazoa, Chordata, Actinopteri, Syngnathiformes, Syngnathidae. The record is from the annotation of a RefSeq genome assembly.